GACAGAGGGUGCAAACGUUGUUCGGAAUUACUGGGCGUAAAGCGAGUGUAGGCGGUGUGGUAAGUCGGAUGUGAAAGCCCCGGGCUCAACCCGGGAAGUGCACUCGAUACUGCCACGCUAGAGUAUCGGAGAGGUUGGUGGAAUUCUCGGUGUAGAGGUGAAAUUCGUAGAUAUUGGGAAGAACACCGGUGGCGAAGGCGGCUCACUGGCUCGUAACUGACGCUCAGGCGCGACAGCGUGGGGAUCAAACAGG
Molecule: ribosomal RNA, 253 nt
Filed under: uncultured bacterium
Lineage: Bacteria
Description: partial 16S ribosomal RNA
Rfam family: Bacterial small subunit ribosomal RNA
Source: RNAcentral